RNAcentral lists this ribosomal RNA (468 nucleotides) under uncultured bacterium. RNAcentral's name for it is "partial 16S ribosomal RNA". It matches the Rfam family "Bacterial small subunit ribosomal RNA", at positions 28 to 507 of the family's 1533-position model. The record is from RNAcentral.
GACGAACGCUGGCGGCGUGCUUAACACAUGCAAGUCGAACGGAAAGGCCCUGCUUUUGUGGGGUGCUCGAGUGGCGAACGGGUGAGUAACACGUGAGUAACCUGCCCUUGACUUUGGGAUAACUUCAGGAAACUGGGGCUAAUACCGGAUAGGAGCUCCCGCUGCAUGGUGGGCGUUGGAAAGUUUCGGCGGUUGGGGAUGGACUCGCGGCUUAUCAGCUAGUUGGUGGGGUAGUGGCUUACCAAGGCUUUGACGGGUAGCCGGCCUGAGAGGGUGACCGGCCACAUUGGGACUGCGAUACGGCGCAGAGUCCUACGGGGGGCAGCAGUGGGGAGUAUUGCACAAUGGGCGGAAGCCUGAGACGGCAGCGCCGCGUGCGGGAUGACGGCCUGCGGGUUGUAAACCGCUUUCGCCUGUGACGAAGCGUGAGUGACGGUAAUGGGUAAAGAAGCACCGGCUAACUACGUG